This 486-nucleotide ribosomal RNA is filed under the name uncultured bacterium. RNAcentral's name for it is "partial 16S ribosomal RNA". It matches the Rfam family "Bacterial small subunit ribosomal RNA", at positions 30 to 507 of the family's 1533-position model. The record is from RNAcentral.
AUUGAACGCUGGCGGCAUGCCUUACACAUGCAAGUCGAACGGCAGCACGGGUGCUUGCACCUGGUGGCGAGUGGCGAACGGGUGAGUAAUACAUCGGAACAUGUCCUGUAGUGGGGGAUAGCCCGGCGAAAGCCGGAUUAAUACCGCAUACGAUCUACGGAUGAAAGCGGGGGACCUUCGGGCCUCGCGCUAUAGGGUUGGCCGAUGGCUGAUUAGCGAGUUGGUGGGGUAAAGGCCUACCAAGGCGACGAUCAGUAGCUGGUCUGAGAGGACGACCAGCCACACUGGGACUGAGACACGGCCCAGACUCCUACGGGAGGCAGCAGUGGGGAAUUUUGGACAAUGGGCGAAAGCCUGAUCCAGCAAUGCCGCGUGUGUGAAGAAGGCCUUCGGGUUGUAAAGCACUUUUGUCCGGAAAGAAAUCCUUGGCCCUAAUACGGUCGGGGGAUGACGGUACCGGAAGAAUAAGCACCGGCUAACUACGUG